UGCUCGAGGAGGACGUACAGUGCGGGCAUGCGGUUUUGCGUUGGCCAGUGUUUUCUCGUGUGAUUCUCGAAGGGGCCUGGAUGCGGAAAAGUACAGCUAUCAAAAGUGCGUCCUGUGGAAAUGUUAUAAAAGACACAUGUAGAGUGAAAAUAUGGAAGGGUGAGAGCAAGAAAAACGUGUGUGAGAAAUGUGGUGUGCGCCAGUGUGAGUGGUCUGAAGUGUGGAAUGGUGGGGUGAGUGAAAAGAAACCCACCGAGAUGGCAGAACCACCACAUUGAGAAGAUGAAGAGCGAGGAGUUUGUAAAGAAAGUGCUUGUUAGUGAAACUGAAGGUGCUAAUAGGAGAGGAAGGCCACUCGGAAGAUGGAAUGAUAAGAUGAAGCGUAACGCCAGGCUUGUCAAGGGACGACGAGGAGCGUCAAGUCGACUUUCCUCAGUAUUAAAUGAAAGAGUGAAUACAAAUUAGAAACGGAUAGAAAUAGGUUGAACUUCGCCUCCCUGUCAGUGAAAAGCGGCAAAGGGUAGACAAAGGAUAGCUGGAAACGAGGAAAAGGAGAGGAUGAGGCUGGCUAGUGAUGUUGGGCAGUGACUGGGAAGGGAGCAGAUUAAGGGGUUAGAUUGGAAUGAUGCAAGUGUGAGAUGUCGUGGCCUUAGAAGUGUAGAUUGAGAGAAAAACGCGAGACUGAAUUAACGUGACAGUGGAGGGCUUGGACGCUGCAAAUUAGAUUCGGAUCCUUGAAACAUCCAUUAUGACUGUAACCGGAUGUGUCUAGAAUUUAUUUCUCCUAUUGUGUCUUAAAUGGAAUGUGCUUGGAUGGUCUGAGCAAAGAUAAUGUUUAGGGAGUAAUAAUUUAUAAGCCUUGCCCUGAAUGUACGCUGAGCUUUCAACUCGACGCUUUGUUGCAGUCUUACGUUCCGUUGCCUCCCCGCUUGCUGCCUCACCCAGCAAUCACUCAAGUCUGUCACCAUGAUUUACUCACCCGCUACGUGGAGGCAACAGGUUAUACAAGGUAAAGGACGGCAGGUGAGUCACGAGUGAUGGCAGACAUGCGGAGCUGCAGGUGGAUGGACAGGUGAAUAGACACGCUGCUGGAAGGAAUUGUAGUCUGCACCCAGCAAAUGGGUAAGACAUCACCGGCGCCACCAUCAUUGCCACCACCACCACCAUCACCACUACCAACUGCAACAACAACGUCACGACAUUGUUAUUAUCACCAAGAACAUCAACAUCAGCAACAAUAAUAACAACAACGUCACGACAUCGUUAUUACCACCAGGAACACCAAUAUCAGGAGCAACAACAACAACAGCAAAGGCAAUAAUAACAACAAGAAUAAAGAACACCCAACUUGGCACUCCACGCUUGGCUGGGGGAAAAUUCUUUACCCGCCUCGUCUGUCCUCCUUCCUAGCCCGUUUAAGCCGGUGGCAGACUUUAAGAUGGGAUACACGCCAUCCUCAGUGAGACGACCCAGACACAUAACAACCCACCGCUGCGCUAUCAAAAUCUCCCAGGUGAUUCACACGUGUGAGGUGAUGUGUACCUACCUACCUCGCCAUUCCUGCUGCUGUUGCCGUGGAUGGUGUUGACAAAGGGAGGCAAAAUAUUCCACCAGCGAGGGGAACGUAAACGUACUCACACCUUUCCAGGUUAAAAAGAAAACAUGAAAAUAAUAAAUCAGUAAAAUAACAAAA
Molecule: long non-coding RNA, 1693 nt
Organism: Scylla paramamosain (green mud crab)
Lineage: Eukaryota; Metazoa; Arthropoda; Malacostraca; Decapoda; Portunidae
Exons: 6
Source: RefSeq, a predicted model, not a curated record